UUUUACUGCAAACAUGUGCAAAGUACAAGACGUGGGCGUAUGUUGACACAGGUAGCCAAUCGUUUGGAGGCGCGUGCACUUCGAGAAUUGGUGGAAAAGAAGCCUGCCUGAUACUUGGGACACUUACUUAGAUGCAGUUAUAUUCAGACUAAGAACAAAAGACCAAUUAACAACAAAGUAUAGUUGUUAUGUUUGAAUGGGAAGGCUGAUAUUCUUCAGACAUUUCCGAAAAAUAUGAGAUACCCUAAAAAAUGUGUUUUGAAUACAGAGUAACAAAUUGAAAUCAUACUGAUGGCCGGGUCAGGAAGCAGUCGCAUGGUUGAAGUCGAUUUUAACAGAAAAUAUGGAUUGAACAUCACACACAACACUGUGGCAAAACUUUAUUAGAAAGUUUCAAAACACUGGAAGUGUUACAGAUCAACCGAGAUGUAGUCGAAGACGUAUAGCCACCGAUGAAGGCCCAACCGCUACGAUACUCUCAGCGCUUACACGGAGUCCCACAAAAAGUACCCGACAGUUAUCUGCAGAAAGUGGUGUCAGCAAAUCAAGUAUCAGGCGCAUUUUGAAAGUAAAUAAAUGGCAUCUGUACAAAUUGCAUAUGGCAUAGCAUAUGAGUGAAGAUGGAUGGAAUUCUGUGAAUGGGCAUUAAGCUAAUUGAACGAGGAUGCAAACCUUUCAACCAAGAUCUUGUUUACUGAAGAAGCAAAUUUUUACAUUAAUGGAGAGGUUAAUCGGCAAAAUGUACGUUAUUGGAGUAAUGCUAAUCCUCACAGGAAUUGUCCGACGAAGAUGCAAGGUGCCGGUAAAUUGAUGGUGUGGGCCGGGAUAUGGGGUGACAGAAUUGUUGGACCAAUUUUUGUUGAUGGAAAUCUUAAUAACAAAAAGUAUCUUAAUAUGUUGCAAGAAGAGAUUUUUCCAUCCCUGCUAAAUGAGGAUGGUAACUUCCCAGUUUACUUCCAGCAAGAUGGACCUCCCUCUCAUUAUGGUAUUCACGUGCAUCAAUGGUUAGAUCAACAAUUUCCGGAUGCUUGGAUUGUUUGCCGUCGUCCUGUGGAGUUGCCUCCCAGAUCCCCAGAUCUAACCCCACUUGAUUUUUAUCUUUGGGGGCAUUUGAAGGCCAUGGUGUAUCAGGAAAAGAUACAAAACAUAAAUCAUCUUAGGAAACAUAUCACCAACGCCAUUACAAGCAUUACUCCAGUUGUGCUAAUACGUGUUCAUCAGCAGUGGUGGACAUGUAUUGAAAUGUGUUUUCAAAAUGAUGGCAGUCAUGUAGAGCAUAUUAUACAAAUUUAAAAAUGUUUUUUCAUAAAAAAAAAAAAAUUGCCUAUGUAUGCAAAUAGUAC
Long non-coding RNA from Polypterus senegalus (gray bichir), 1343 nucleotides. RefSeq lists it as uncharacterized. NCBI's taxonomy places the organism in Eukaryota, Metazoa, Chordata, Cladistia, Polypteriformes, Polypteridae. The record is from RefSeq and is a predicted model, not a curated record. The transcript has 3 exons.